This 1011-nucleotide ribosomal RNA is filed under the name Minimelanolocus yunnanensis. RNAcentral's name for it is "SSU rRNA". It matches the Rfam family "Eukaryotic small subunit ribosomal RNA", at positions 71 to 1105 of the family's 1831-position model. The record is from RNAcentral. Lineage: Eukaryota; Fungi; Ascomycota; Eurotiomycetes; Chaetothyriales; Herpotrichiellaceae.
GCAUCAUACUGUGAACUGCGAAUGGCUCAUUAAAUCAGUUAUCGUUUAUUUGAUAGUACCUUUACCUGGAUAACCGUGGUAAUUCUAGAGCUAAUACAUGCUAAAAACCUCGACUUCGGAAGGGGUGUAUUUAUUAKAUAAAAAACCAAUGCCCUUCGGGGCUCCUUGGUGAUUCAUAAUAACUUAACGAAUCGCAUGGCCUUGCGCCGGCGAUGGUUCAUUCAAAUUUCUGCCCUAUCAACUUUCGAUGGUAGGAUAGUGGCCUACCAUGGUCUUAACGGGUAACGGGGAAUUAGGGUUCUAUUCCGGAGAGGGAGCCUGAGAAACGGCUACCACAUCCAAGGAAGGCAGCAGGCGCGCAAAUUACCCAAUCCCAAUACGGGGAGGUAGUGACAAUAAAUACUGAUACGGGGCUCUUUCGGGUCUCGUAAUUGGAAUGAGUACAAUCUAAAUCCCUUAACGAGGAACAAUUGGAGGGCAAGUCUGGUGCCAGCAGCCGCGGUAAUUCCAGCUCCAAUAGCGUAUAUUAAAGUUGUUGCCGUUAAAAAGCUCGUAGUUGAACCUUGGACCUGGCUGAUCUGUCCUCCUAAUCGAGCGCACGGAUUCGGUCGGGUCUUUCCUUCUGGGGAGCCCUAUGCCCUUCACUGGGUGUAGUGGGGAACCAGGACUUUUACCUUGAAAAAAUUAGAGUGUUCAAAGCAGGCCUUUGCUCGAAUACAUUAGCAUGGAAUAAUAGAAUAGGACAUCGGUUCUAUUUUGUUGGUUUCUAGGACCGCUGUAAUGAUUAAUAGGGAUAGUCGGGGGCGUCAGUAUUCAAUUGUCAGAGGUGAAAUUCUUGGAUUUAUUGAAGACUAACUACUGCGAAAGCAUUCGCCAAGGAUGUUUUCAUUAAUCAGUGAACGAAAGUUAGGGGAUCGAAGACGAUCAGAUACCGUCGUAGUCUUAACCAUAAACUAUGCCGACUAGGGAUCGGACGGUGGUUUUUUUAUGCCCCGUUCGGCACCUUACGAG